RNAcentral lists this ribosomal RNA (46 nucleotides) under Symbiodinium sp. clade B isolate Dstrig102. Its description in RNAcentral is "partial 28S ribosomal RNA". Lineage: Eukaryota; Dinophyceae; Suessiales; Symbiodiniaceae. The record is from RNAcentral.
AUGAAGUCAGACAAGAGAACCCGCUGAACUUAAGCAUAUGAAUCCC